CAUCAUGUCAGAUCAUCACAUUCCCCUGCAAAGCAUUGCUUUCAUUUUUCUAAAUAAGGCACUGAAACAGGUUGGAUCUCAAGUGACUCACUGCUAUAAAUUUGGAUUUCCAAAGGGUUUUCGGCAAACACGGGAGGCUCACUCAUCCACACAAGAAGGCUCCUUAAGAAGACACAAGGAUGGAUGCAUUCCCGCUGUUUUCCCAGAUAAAAUCAUUUACACAGUGGGUCUCCGGAGAUGCUGAAGGAGCCCGAAAGACACAAGAGAAUUUUUUUAAACUUUGCCCCAUAGUAUCACAGGGUACAUCAGCUGUUCAGGCCGUCCUUGGAGAUGAAGAAGGAGCCAGAAGAACACAGCUGGAGUUCCUCCAAGGUGUAAAUGAAACAAUGGAUAUCUUACCAGUUGUUGGCCAUGUUAAAGGGGCAGUCCAUUACAUGUGUGGUGACAAACAAGGAGGGGAUCAAGCUCUAAAGGCUGCAACUCAGACAGCAGAUGCCAUUGGUAACAUCUUUGCAGGUCGCUAAAUAUGAAAUGCCGUGGUUCACUGUAACUGCUGUUGUGGAACAUCAUGUUCAGCACUAUGGACCUGAUCAUAAUACACAUGUUAUAUCUGAUCCAAACAAAUUAAAGCAGGUUUUGGAAGUGACUGGUGGUUAGGUGAUGUAUGCCACGAUGAACUGACAUUUUGUUGCUCUUGAUGAGACACACGCAAUGGCAUACCAUCUUCAGUUUAGUUUAGGAUGAAGCGGUCAUCUCAGAGGAUAAAUUCUAAAAAGUAUAACUUUUUACUUAAUCUAGCAGAUUUCUACGAUUACACAUGACUUUCUGCAAAUGUGCUUUUAUUGUUUGUAAAUAAUUAAGUUUGUUUUUUUCAAGAUCAAGAGGAUUGCAUUUUGCAUAUGCAGCCUUUAUAAAAUAUGCAUAUUGAUUUAGAAAAA
Erpetoichthys calabaricus (reedfish) is the source of this 938-nucleotide long non-coding RNA. RefSeq lists it as uncharacterized. The transcript has 2 exons. NCBI's taxonomy places the organism in Eukaryota, Metazoa, Chordata, Cladistia, Polypteriformes, Polypteridae. The record is from RefSeq and is a predicted model, not a curated record.